Molecule: ribosomal RNA, 673 nt
Filed under: Delftia sp.
Lineage: Bacteria; Pseudomonadati; Pseudomonadota; Betaproteobacteria; Burkholderiales; Comamonadaceae
Description: bacterial SSU rRNA
Rfam family: Bacterial small subunit ribosomal RNA
Source: RNAcentral
CGGACGCUGACGAGUGGCGAACGGGUGAGUAAUACAUCGGAACGUGCCCAGUCGUGGGGGAUAACUACUCGAAAGAGUAGCUAAUACCGCAUACGAUCUGAGGAUGAAAGCGGGGGACCUUCGGGCCUCGCGCGAUUGGAGCGGCCGAUGGCAGAUUAGGUAGUUGGUGGGAUAAAAGCUUACCAAGCCGACGAUCUGUAGCUGGUCUGAGAGGACGACCAGCCACACUGGGACUGAGACACGGCCCAGACUCCUACGGGAGGCAGCAGUGGGGAAUUUUGGACAAUGGGCGAAAGCCUGAUCCAGCAAUGCCGCGUGCAGGAUGAAGGCCUUCGGGUUGUAAACUGCUUUUGUACGGAACGAAAAAGCUCCUUCUAAUACAGGGGGCCCAUGACGGUACCGUAAGAAUAAGCACCGGCUAACUACGUGCCAGCAGCCGCGGUAAUACGUAGGGUGCGAGCGUUAAUCGGAAUUACUGGGCGUAAAGCGUGCGCAGGCGGUUAUGUAAGACAGAUGUGAAAUCCCCGGGCUCAACCUGGGAACUGCAUUUGUGACUGCAUGGCUAGAGUACGGUAGAGGGGGAUGGAAUUCCGCGUGUAGCAGUGAAAUGCGUAGAUAUGCGGAGGAACACCGAUGGCGAAGGCAAUCCCCUGGACCUGUACUGACGCUCAUG